CGCAAGCCUGACGGAGCAAGACCGCGUGGGGGAGGAAGGCUCUUGGGUUGUAAACCCCUUUUCUCAGGGAAGAACCAAAUGACGGUACCUGAGGAAUCAGCCUCGGCUAACUCCGUGCCAGCAGCCGCGGUAAUACGGAGGAGGCAAGCGUUAUCCGGAAUGAUUGGGCGUAAAGCGUUCGUAGGUGGCUAUUCAAGUCUGCUGUCAAAGACAGAAGCUCAACUUCUGAAAGGCAGUGGAAACUGAGUAGCUGGAGUGCGGUAGGGGCAGAGGGAGUUCCCGGUGUAGCGGUGAAAUGCGUAGAGAUCGGGAAGAACACCGGUGGCGAAAGCGCUCUGCUGGGCCGCAACUGACACUGAGGGACGAAAGCUAGGGGAGCG
RNAcentral lists this ribosomal RNA (380 nucleotides) under uncultured cyanobacterium. RNAcentral describes it as "bacterial SSU rRNA". It matches the Rfam family "Bacterial small subunit ribosomal RNA", at positions 376 to 770 of the family's 1533-position model. Lineage: Bacteria; Bacillati; Cyanobacteriota. The record is from RNAcentral.